GCAAGGCUAGUGGGCAAGCUUUGGCAAGACAACCAAGCAGACCCAGAGUUUCAUCUAUGGUUUCAUUUUUAUUUAUUGACGUGGCACUCUUGGAAACAACAAAAUAAAAUCAUGCAAUGAGAUUGGCAAAGUGACAAUACAUCGUGGGUACAAUGUUCAGAAACAUAAGGCAACAUAACCAAAGUGACACUUGCAAAAUACAUUAUCGAUAAAAUGUUCAGAAACAUAAGACAACCCCAUGGUACUUUCACUCUAAGUACCAUUAGCUACCAAAAUAUAAGAGCACCAUCCCACCUCUAAACCAUCUACUUAAUUAGCCUUACCACCAAGCAUCAAUCCCGCAACAAUAACAAAUAAAGCAAGUAGCACGUGUGCAAGUUUGACAUUGUGCCUAUAAUUCCCAAUGAACUACAGCUCGGCAGUAGCCUUCUAAAGUUGUUGCCGCACCGUCUUGAGCUCAUUCCUAAUCUCUCUAAGCUCACUGUUAGCUUUUGCCAAUUCUUUCUCCCACUUCUUUGCAUCCUCCUCAGCUUGUACCUUCUUCUUUAUGAGCUUCACCAUCCAUUCUGGAUCAAC
RNAcentral lists this long non-coding RNA (576 nucleotides) under Setaria viridis. Its description in RNAcentral is "long non-coding RNA (SVIR_LNC009662)". Lineage: Eukaryota; Viridiplantae; Streptophyta; Magnoliopsida; Poales; Poaceae. The record is from RNAcentral.